CCGGAGCCGCCGCCGGGCCGCUGAGCCCCCCCGCCGCUCCCCGCGCCCGGGCCGGGCAGGGGGGGCCGCCCCGCGCCGAGACGGAGCGCAUCAUCCCGAGCAGUGCUGGAGGACCUCCCCCCGUUGGCCGCGGGGGUUAUGGGGAAGCGCUGCCCUUCCAUCCCACGUUGGUUGGUUGGCUUUGCUGUUGGUUGGCUUUGCUGUUGGUUGGCUUUGCUGUUGGUGACGGUGCGGCUUUUGAUGCUGCACGAAGAGCCCCCAACGAUGGCCUUCAUUGCUUCGAGCUCCGACUUCAUCCCCGGACCUCAUCGGCGCUGUGCGUCCUCCAUCCACGGCCCUGCGGGUGAAGUUAUGGCAACGGAUGCCCCAGGAGGGGGGGCUGCCCCCGUGUUGGGGCGCAGUGUGGGGUCCUGAGCUGCUGCCCACCCCCCCCUAUUUGGCUUUGGGUUCGCACCCCGUGGAGUUUUCCUCCCUCCACCCCACGGAGCUCCGUCGGCCGCCCCGUUUCUGCUGCAGCGCCGGUUCAAAGUAAGGGAAGGAGAGCUGUUUGGUGAUGGAUAAAACACAACGGGCUGCUGCCUUUCCUCCUGGCUUUGGGGCUGCCCAGCCCCGUGGGACCGUAGAGAUGGACCUCGGUGCCGUUCCAACGUCGCGGCCCUUCUUCUCUAUGGCUCCGCUCGCUCCGAUUCGUGGCGAAGGCGGAAAAAAAGCUCUCAUGGUGGAAAACGGAGCGAAUGGAAACAAUGCUUCGGGAAGAGAAACUGCAGGGAUUGCGUCGUACCGCCCUCACCCCGCGUGUGAAGGCAGUGGGUCCAUCCUUGGGGGGGGUCAGGGGGCUGCGAGCUGCGGGGAUGGCUGCGCAGGGCCGGGAUGGGGGGGCACACGCUGACCCUGCUGUCCUCAGGAGCCCCCCCAUGUGUGCUCAGCACAGAGGACGUCUGGAUGGCUGCGUGCUCAGCCCCGGGCUUUGGUUAAACUGGGCUGCUGGGGGGGGGUUUGGUUUCCCUGAGUGCGGCCCCUGGGGGGGGCAGCCCUUCUUUUAGUGCUGAGCGCUGCUCCAGUUUCGGCGCGGCGGCGCUGAGGUCUCUGCUUGGUGGCACCGAAUGCUGCGUGUGUGGAGGGGCCGGGGGUUAGAAAUGAGGGGAGGGGGUCUCGGCCCCAUUGCCCACAGCUCAGAGGAGCUCGGGGCUGCGUGCCCACUGCUGCCAGGCUGGGCUGUGCUCCAGAGAGGGGACUUUCCCUGCACAGCUGAUGGCACUGCAUGCAGGCGAUGUCUGAGUGUAAUGCAGCAGAGCGAAGCAAUGGGAAUGGACCAAUAAGAGCCACUUGGAUGCAGAAUGUGUGCGCUGUCCCAGCAGGGUGGGUUUCCCUCUCGCUUUGGUGUGGUGCCCGCAGACCUUUGGGCACAAUGCUGGUGUUGGCAUUCGCUCCUAUUGCCCCACACCCAACCCUUCCCAUCAGCAGAAUGGCACCAGACGUCCCCACUCUGUGCUGCCAGUGCUCCGUCUCCGUCUGUCCCUGGGGUGGGUGAUGGCUCUGUGCCCACACUGUGCCCCCCCACGGCUGAGUUUGUGUUCCCCCGGGGCUGAUGGUGAUGUGGGGCUGUGCUGUGGGAGCUCAGGGUGAGCAGAGCUCUGCCCCAGACGUGUUUUAUUUGGGGGGGGGGAGGGGGAGAGAUGGCUGAGUACCUCCUGAGGGCAAACUCUGACUCUGCUCUGCUCUCUCUUUCAGCAACGCACCUUAAGGAUGGAUAUAGAAGACUGUAAUGGACGGUCCUACAUAUCUGGUACGUCCCAUCUUGAUUGCCACCUGCUGUUUUGGGUGGCUGGCUUCGUAAGGUGCUCACCAGACUUCAGCAUCUGGCCCUGUUCAUUAAGGAGCUGGGGAGAAUGAACGCUGCAGGCCUGACAAACAGCUCAUUAAUGAGCUGUGCCAAGCCAAGCCCUGGAGGUUUGGGCUGAAGUUUGAGUGCUCGGGGCUGUUGGAUGGGGUGGAAGGGGUCAGGGCGCAGCCCAGGGCUGCUGUGCUGUUAGGGGGGGAUCAUUGCCUCAGGGCUGUGGGUGCUGUGCUGACCCUGCAGAGCGCUCCCUGCUGCUGGCUGUGGGGUUUGGGUGCACGGAGCUGAGCUACCCUGAAGUUGGGCUGCUGCUCUGCUUGGCUUCUCCUUCAGCCUGGAGCCUGGCUGGAGGAAAAGGCCAUUGGGGCACAGCUGUGUCCCUCUCAGGGCAGCGGGGAUGGGGAUGCUGCCAGGCUGAGCCCAUCCAGCAGCAGUGCUGGCAUUGGCUGAAGCCAGGAGCUCCCCGGGGAGCCACACCGUCUGCCAGUGCCAUGGGCACCUCCGUUUGUUUUUGGAGCAAAGGAAAUGUGACCCAGUAUUCCCUGCAGCACGCUUGGCAAGCUGUCAGCC
RNAcentral lists this long non-coding RNA (2407 nucleotides) under Gallus gallus (chicken). The record is from RNAcentral. Lineage: Eukaryota; Metazoa; Chordata; Aves; Galliformes; Phasianidae.